UUCAUUUCUCUCUCUUAUUUUAAGAUAGAGGCAGAAUAUCAAAAAUGCUGUGGUCAGAUGAAGACAAAAUUGCAGGUUGAACUCAUGCCAAACAGCUCAAAGGUUUGGAGGGAGCGUAAUGUGGACUAUGACCCAAAGAAGACCAUCCCCACAGUCACACAGAGAUGGAAGCAGCUUAACAGCACAAAAAUGACUCAAAACAUACUGGCAAGAUGCUGAACAUCACCAUGAAGCUGUUGACUGCAUCUGCACUUCUUUGUGCAAUGAUGACUCUGACCACUGCUGCUGAUGAAGAUCACAGCAGUGAGGAAGAGGGAUCAGUUUCACCAGAGAUACUGUCAGUCCAAGAAUGCAAACCUGGCAUCUGUACGCAACCUUGGAAAGUACUGGGCGAUUCAGAGGGUCAUAUACCGUGCUGCCCGUUAACACGUACCGACAUGGAUUGGAGGCUCUGAUGCUCAACAGGAUGCAGGUGUAUGAAUGACAAACCCUGUAACUACCGAUACCCAUUUGUCUGCAUCAGGAAAAGAAGAUAAUUCCUUGUCUGACAUGAAGCCAUAGUUCACCAAACAAAGAAGCAAAUAAUCUCAAUUACCCCAGAAGAAUCUGUUUUAUAUCUUUACUUCUUUUCUUUUGCUGUAAUGCUACAUAAGGAAUGAAUCAGCAAGCGACGUAACCUGGAGCUGGAUUGUCUCUUUUAAUAGCAUCAAACUGAACGUGUAAUGGAAAGAAUGCUUUUAGGAAAACGUUGUCCCUGCAUGAACUCUUCUUUCUCACCUUCAUCAUUAAACU
This is a long non-coding RNA of Oreochromis niloticus (Nile tilapia), 792 nucleotides long. RefSeq lists it as uncharacterized. The record is from RefSeq and is a predicted model, not a curated record. NCBI's taxonomy places the organism in Eukaryota, Metazoa, Chordata, Actinopteri, Cichliformes, Cichlidae. The transcript has 5 exons.